RNAcentral lists this transfer RNA (57 nucleotides) under Loxodonta africana (African savanna elephant). It matches the Rfam family "tRNA", at positions 8 to 63 of the family's 71-position model. Rfam says of the family: Transfer RNA (tRNA) molecules are approximately 80 nucleotides in length. Lineage: Eukaryota; Metazoa; Chordata; Mammalia; Proboscidea; Elephantidae. The record is from Rfam by way of RNAcentral.
UGGCAUAAUGGUUAAAGCACUUGGCUGCUAACUGAGGGUUGGUGGUUCGAACCCAUC